This 301-nucleotide ribosomal RNA is filed under the name uncultured bacterium. RNAcentral's name for it is "partial 16S ribosomal RNA". It matches the Rfam family "Bacterial small subunit ribosomal RNA", at positions 509 to 807 of the family's 1533-position model. The record is from RNAcentral.
CAGUAGCCACGGGAAAACGAAGGGGGCUAGCGUUGCUCGGAAUGACUGGGCGUAAAGGGCGCGUAGGCGGUUUUGACAGUCAGAUGUGAAAUUCCUGGGCUUAACCUGGGGGCUGCAUUUGAGACGUCAAGACUAGAGUGUGAGAGAGGGUUGUGGAAUUCCCAGUGUAGAGGUGAAAUUCGUAGAUAUUGGGAAGAACACCGGUGGCGAAAGCGGCUCACUGGACCAUUACUGACGCUGAGGCGCGAAAGCUAGGGGAGCAAACAGGAUUAGAUACCCGGGUAGUCCCUGUCUCUUAUAC